RNAcentral lists this ribosomal RNA (1243 nucleotides) under metagenome. RNAcentral describes it as "bacterial LSU rRNA". It matches the Rfam family "Bacterial large subunit ribosomal RNA", at positions 1564 to 2815 of the family's 2925-position model. The record is from RNAcentral.
UGAAUACGAGACGCUAAGGCGUCGAAGUAGUGUAUGUCAUACUUCCAAGAAAAGCUUGCACUGUCAUAAGUAAAAAAUGCCUGUACCAUAACCGACACAGGUGGGUAGGUAGAGUAUACUAAGGGGCGCGAGAUAACUCUCUCUAAGGAACUCGGCAAAAUAACUCCGUAACUUCGGGAGAAGGAGUACCUUAUUCUAUAAGGUUGCAAUAACAAGAUCCAAGCAACUGUUUAUCAAAAACACAGGUCUCCGCUAAGUCGUAAGACGAUGUAUGGGGGCUGACGCCUGCCCAGUGCCAGAAGGUUAAAGAAGUCGGUUAGCAUUAGCGAAGCUGGUAACUGAAGCCCUGGUGAACGGCGGCCGUAACGAUAACGGUCCUAAGGUAGCGAAAUUCCUUGUCGGGUAAGUUCCGACCCGCACGAAAGGCGUAAUGAUUUGGAUACUGUCUCGGAGAGGGGCUCGGUGAAAUAGACUUGUCUGUGAAGAUGCGGACUACCUGCACCAGGACAGAAAGACCCUAUGAAGCUUUACUGUAACUUGAAAUUGAAAUUGGACUUUAUUCGCGCAGUAUAGGUGGGAGGUGUUGAUUAUAAUCUUGCGGGAUUAUUGGAGCCAUCAGUGAGAUACCACUCUUGUAAUGUUAGAUUUCUAACUUUGAAUCAUUAUCUGGUCAAAGGACAGUUUCAGGCGGGCAGUUUGACUGGGGCGGUCGCCUCCCAAACGGUAACGGAGGCGUACAAAGGUUUCCUCUGAACGGGUAGAAAUCGUAUCUAGAGUGUAAAGGCAUAAGGAAGCUUGACUGUGAGACCUACAAGUCGAACAGGGACGAAAGUCGGUCUUAGUGAUCUGACGGUACUGAGUGGAAAGGCCGUCACUCAACGGAUAAAAGUUACUCUAAGGAUAACAGGCUGAUCUCCCCCAAGAGUUCACAUCGACGGGGAGGUUUGGCACCUCGAUGUCGGCUCAUCGCAUCCUGGGGCGGUAGUACGUCCCAAGGGUUGGGCUGUUCGCCCAUGAAAGCGGUACGCGAGCUGGGUUCAGAACGUCGUGAGACAGUUCGGUCCAUAUCCGGUGUAGGCGUUAGAAUAUUGAGAGGAGCCUUCUUUAGUACGAGAGGACCGAGAAGGACAUACCUCUGGUGUACCAGUUAUCGUGCCAACGGUAAACGCUGGGUAGCUAUGUAUGGAGUGGAUAACCGCUGAAAGCAUCUAAGUGGGAAGCCCACCUCAAGAUAAGUAUUCUC